Non-coding RNA from Nycticebus coucang (slow loris), 724 nucleotides. Lineage: Eukaryota; Metazoa; Chordata; Mammalia; Primates; Lorisidae. The record is from the annotation of a RefSeq genome assembly.
GGCAGGGCAAGAGCAGCACAUUUGCAUGCAGGGCCCCUCUCUCUCCUCUGAGGAUGAAGGGGGGAUAAGAGACACCUGCAGCGUGUCUGCCUCAGCAGAGCUCUGGGGUGUCUGCACCAUGGCCUGGACCCCACUCCUCCUCCUCAGCCUCCUCCUUCACUGCACAGGGUCCCUCUCCCAGCCUGUGCUGACUCAGCCGCCCUCUGCAUCUGCCUCCUUGGGAGCCUCGGUCAAGCUCACCUGCACUCUGGACAGUGCACACAGCAGCUAUUACAUGUAUUGGCACCAGCAGCAGCCGGGGAAGGCCCCUCGGUACCUGAUGUGGAUUAGCAGUGCUGGGAGCAGCAGCAAGGGGGACGGGAUCCCUGACUGCUUCUCUGGCUCCGGCUCUGGGGCUGACCGCUACUUGACCAUCUCCAACCUCCAGUCUGAGGACGAGGCUGAUUAUUUCUGUGGAAGUGGUGACAGCAGUGGUUUACACAGUGACACAGGCAGAUGAGGAAGUGGGACAAAAACCUCAGCCUGCACUUGAGCUUUCUCUAUGACAAUUUUCAAAUUUCAAAAUAUGCUCCAAUGCACAAAUUCUACUUGGCAGCACCUUUGGUGUUUAAAAUAUUUCUAUUCUCAGUUUCUCUCCAAAUGUUUCUGAAGUCUCAGGAAAACCAAAAGCAAAACCCAAAGCCCCCUGAUGACACUGAAAUGUUGCCUGUUUAUCCGAAUGUGU